Molecule: ribosomal RNA, 545 nt
Filed under: uncultured bacterium
Lineage: Bacteria
Description: bacterial SSU rRNA
Rfam family: Bacterial small subunit ribosomal RNA
Source: RNAcentral
AGAUAAUAGAUACCCGGGUAGUCCACGCCCUAAACGAUGUCGACUGGUUGUUGGGGGUUUGACACUCUCAGUAAACGAAAGCUAAACGCGUGAAGUCGACCGCCUGGGGAGUACGGCCGCAAGGUUAAAACUCAAAGGAAUUGACGGGGACCCGCACAAGCGGUGGAUUAUGUGGAUUAAUUCGAUGCAACGCGAAAAAACCUUACCUACCCUUGACAUGUCCGGGAGCCUGCUGAGAGGCGGGUGUGCUCGAAAGAGAACCGGAACACAGGUGCUGCAUGGCUGUCGUCAGCUCGUGUCGUGAGAUGUUGGGUUAAGUCCCGCAACGAGCGCAACCCUUGCCAUUAGUUGCCACCCGUAAGGGGGCACUCUAAUGGGACUGCCGGUGACAAACCGGAGGAAGGUGGGGAUGACGUCAAGUCCUCAUGGCCCUUAUGGGUAGGGCUUCACACGUAAUACAAUGGCGCGUACAGAGGGUUGCCAAGGAGCGAUCUGGAGCCAAUCCCGUAAAGCGCGUCGUAGUCCGGAUUGCAGUCUGCAACUCG